This is a ribosomal RNA of Labrus bergylta (ballan wrasse), 109 nucleotides long. Lineage: Eukaryota; Metazoa; Chordata; Actinopteri; Labriformes; Labridae. The record is from Ensembl.
GCUUACGGCCAUACCACCCUGAACACGCCCGAUCUCGGAAGCUAAGCAGGGUCGGGCCUGGUUAGUACUUGGAUGGGAGACCGCCUGGGAAUACCAGGUGCUGUAAGUU